AUUGAACGCUGGCGGCAGGCCUAACACAUGCAAGUCGAACGAGUGGCGGACGGGUGAGUAAUGUCUGGGAAACUGCCCGAUGGAGGGGGAUAACUACUGGAAACGGUAGCUAAUACCGCAUACCAUCGGAUGUGCCCAGAUGGGAUUCGCUAGUAGGUGGGGUAAUGGCGUACCUAGGCGACGAUCCCUAGCUGGUCUGAGAGGAUGACCAGCCACACUGGAACUGAGACACGGUCCAGACGCCGACGGUAGGCAGCCGUGGUGAAUAUUGCACAAUGGGCGCAAGCCUGAUGCAGCCAUGCCGCGUGUAUGAAGAAGUCCUUCGGGUUGUAAAGUACUUUCAGCGGGGAGGCGUUACCCGCAGAAGAAGCACCGGCUAACUCCGUGCCAGCAGCCGCGGUAAUUC
This 406-nucleotide ribosomal RNA is filed under the name uncultured bacterium. RNAcentral's name for it is "partial 16S ribosomal RNA". It matches the Rfam family "Bacterial small subunit ribosomal RNA", at positions 30 to 526 of the family's 1533-position model. The record is from RNAcentral.